RNAcentral lists this ribosomal RNA (203 nucleotides) under uncultured bacterium. RNAcentral's name for it is "partial 16S ribosomal RNA". It matches the Rfam family "Bacterial small subunit ribosomal RNA", at positions 524 to 725 of the family's 1533-position model. The record is from RNAcentral.
UACGUAGGGUGCAAGCGUUGUCCGGAAUUAUUGGGCGUAAAGAGCUCGUAGGCGGUUUGUCGCGUCUGCUGUGAAAAUCCAGGGCUUAACCCUGGACCUGCAGUGGGUACGGGCAGACUAGAGUGCGGUAGGGGUGACUGGAAUUCCUGGUGUAGCGGUGGAAUGCGCAGAUAUCAGGAAGAACACCCAUGGCGGAAGGCAGC